CAAGGUCUCAGCCUAGCAGAUGGCCUCUGUUCUCCAGGGCGGCGACAUGGACUUGGCCUAAGCCCAGUGGAGAGACGCUGCGGACAGAGGCCGUGGGAGGUUUCUAUACCAAGGGCUGGAUGUGACCAGUUAAGAGUCAGAGUGACACAGUGAGCUUGAAGAGAGAAAGAUGCAAAUUCUUUCCUUCUAAUUGGUCUUUACUAGUCUGUAGCUUUGUGAGCCCUGGAAGCUGACACCAAGAAGCACAUUCUCAUCCACUAAGAGUCCAGGGGCAUCAAAGACAGAGCCAGGGGCUGCCCUCGAGUGGCUUCAUGGGCGCUGGGCAUUGCCUAUGGGAGCAGACAGCAAACAUCAGAGGUCUGUUGGGUGGACCCUCAGUCCCAUGGUUGAUGUCCUUAUAUGAAGAGGAGAGGACACACGUGACACUGGAGGCAGACAUUGGAGUGAUGCAGCUACAAGCCAAGGAGCGCCAAGGUGCUGGGUGCCAGGAGAAGCUGGAAGAGUGGAAGGAAAUCCUGGACCAAAUUUCCACGAAUUUUGCUAUUGUGGUUGAAGUUGAUUGAUUCUGGGUGACAAGAUCCUUUCCUAGACACCAACUUGCCAUGCUUCGUCUGCAGCUGUGUAUGCAACAAUAUUCAUAGAUGAAAAAGAAGAGAAACGGCUACAUGAAGAACUAGUUUCAUAAAUUCUGGCAGGACUUCCAGGCUGUCCCUCAAGGCAAUGUCUCCAAAUUCCUAGAAAGCUCUGGAAACAAGACAGAGAACAAUGUGGAACUGUUUGGACCCAUUGACCUAAAGGCCUGGAGGUUAAGGACUUGUGAAGUGGCCUCAGUAGCCCAGUUUGUCCCCGGGGAGAAGUGGCCAGAGGGGCUGCCAGGCUGUUGAAAUGUUCUCUCCCUGGAGAAGCAGUGGUGGAGGCCAAGGGACACCGAUGAUCCUCCUCUCAGUUCCUCCAGUAACUCACAGGGUGGGAAGAGGCUGUAAAGCCUUCUUUGACCUGGCACAGAGCAUCCUGUCAUCAUUGCAGGUUGGGCUCGCCAGCACCCUUACAGGCUCUGCAUCGAAGUACUGGCCUAUGCAUGAGGCCCUACUGGCUGGUUUGUGUUGGAUCCUGGCUCUUCAUGAAAAACUAUUUGCAAGUUCACCUAGUUGUAUGGCAUCGCAAGUUAGAAAAACGUGCUAGGAAUAACCGUGGGAGACAUUCGAGGUAACAUCAGCAGCUACGACCCAGGUCUUCUUUGCCCAGCCACCCCAUCUGACCUUUUGAUUCUCUCAUAUACAAUAAUUUAUGGUGGUUGAAUUCUCUAAGUCAGAAUACACCCUGCAACACACCAAUGGAAGGAGCAGGGGCCCAGGUACCCAGGCUAGAGGUGACAUCCACGAUCCAUGCCACACCAAGUACUCCAUCAUCUGGCUCCCUGCCUACCCUCCCACAUCUUCUCUUACCACUCUCUGCUUUAUAUUUUAGGUUCCAGCCACAUUAUGAUGCAAGAGGUCCCCAUGUGAGCCAUGCUACUUCUUGACCCCUGACCCUUGCUCACACUGUCUGCUUCGAACACACAGCUUAUCUCCUCCUGACCCCUCCUUUUUUUUUGCUGAGGAAGAUUCUCCCUGAGCUAGCAUCCAUGCCAAUCUUCCUCUAUUUUUCUAGCAUGUAGGCCACUAGCACAGCAUGGCCACCAGCAGAGCGGUGUAGGUCCACUCCUGAGAACCAAACCUGGGCCACCGCCAUGGAGUGUGCCAAACUUAACCACUAGGCCACUAAAGCUGGCCCUCCUCCUUAACUCUUACUAAUCCUGUAGGACCAACCACAGGUUUCACCUCUUCCAGGAAGGCUUCCUGAUCUCCCCCAUCCACAGCUGAAUUACACGCUCCUUAUCUCUGCCCUUUCAGUACCCUGUGAUAAUUUCUAUCACUCUUAUUUAUUACAUUACAUUGUAGUUACCAGUUUAUAUCUAUCUUUCUCAAAAUUAUGACCUCACUUAGGACAGGGGUUGUGUCUUUUUUAUGUGUGUACCUCAGUGCCUAGCAAAGGGUACAUGGUUAGUGUUGAAUCAGUGAUUGUGGAGGGAGUGAGUGAAGAGGGGAUUAGAGAACCAACAAGGAGCCGUCAUCUGCUAUGUGCCUGACACUGUGUCAGAUGUGUUGUGUCAUUCAAUCAAUUCACAAAAAUACGCAAAGUGGGCGUCAUUAUCCAAACUCAUCAAAUGAGGAAGAUGAGACUCACAGAGCAGAAACACCUUUCUUGAGGUCCCAUAAUUAGUAAGAGACAGCAGCUUGUUUUGAAUCAAAGCCCCCGGGACCCAGAAGUCUGUGCUAUCUUCAUGACACCAUCACCUGCUCCCUGACAGUCACCAUCUGAAGUGCCCAGGCUGGGGGCGUCAUGGUCGAGCGGGAGCAGCCAGCACUUAGGCUGACCCAGGAUAUAACAAGAUUCUUUUGGGACAGCAUCUUUCGACUACCCAUGUCUGGCCACUACAGGGAUGCAUUUGUGAGAAUUAGUGCCUCCACUAGCCAAUCUCCUUGGAAGAAUGGCCCAGGAGUCGGCUUCUCCUCUUCACCUCUGUACGACCUUAGGGUUAUUGCCUCAAAAUUUUUUAUAACUUUACUUCCUACAGAUAGCAUUUAGCUUUUAUAAAACCCACCCAAUUCGUUAUCUGCUCACAUUUCUCCAGAUGUUUCACCUCCCACUCCUGUCUUUCUUAAUGACUCUAGGGGGUUGAUUACCAGCAGGGUUAAAGCUGUCAAAUUAUUCUUGGCUCUAUUCCACUUCUUCUUCUUUUUUUUUUUUUUAAAUCUAUCUCCAAAGUUUAAUUCAAAAUCUUCACCAAUGGAUCAAUAAUCCUUUUAUUUUUUCUAAUUCUAGUCGAAUUACAGUACUACAACUAUACAAUGGAGAAUAGUUUCAUUUUCCUAUGAUUCUCCACAACCUGAAGAUUUUGCUGUUGACUUUGUUUCUGUGCCCCCUUCCCUGUUGCUCAAAGCAGAGAGCUAGAAAGGCGAGAGGGGGUUGAUUUCGGUGGGAAAAGGUCUUCAUAUGUCAGUCUAGGCUCCCUUCAUCUGUGCUUCUUUUGCAGGGGAGGGAAAAGGAUAGCACUGGGAUUCUAAAGAAAUCAGCAAGUUUUUACCUGUUGAUCUUCAGAGAGUACAGAGUGAAGGCAAAUAAGUUUAUUCAUGCAAUAGAUUUAAUGGGGCUGGCAGAUUCUCUUUGUUCUAAAUGCCACAGUCUAGCCACAGAACUACACAGAGAUGUGAAAAGUAAAACGAAACUUGGGGCUCACAGAAUCAUCACAAGAACCCCACUAAAUUGAAAUCUCAGAGGCUGGCUCCUCGUCCCCAGCUGGGGCCUGCCCACAACUCUGCUUACAGCUGAGGCAAGACUAGAGGGUUCUAGGAUGAAUCCUGAUUUUAAUUUCAAGAUUCACUUUUACUAACACAAAAUUGACAAUGGGAACCAGAAGAUUCCGCUUUCUCUCAACUUGGAUUUUUAUUGCCUCCGAGGUUCUGGAUCUUUUUUUCUUGAUUUGGAGCAGCGGUAGAGAACCCUGAAGCAACACUAGCCUCUCAGGCCUCAGGAACGUGCUCCAGUUGUUCCCUUGUUACUUACUAAUGGAACUUGCAAACUCCUCCUCCAUUCAGGACCAGAGCCUUGGAAUAACCUCUAUGAUACCCCACAGCACAGCAGUAUUUAAAAUAUUUAAAAUAGCCAUAAUUAAAUAUUUAUAUUGCACUUAACAUUUUACGAAGCACGUUUUAAUUUUCAUUUCUUUUGUGCAAUUGGAAAAACUCUGUAUUGGAUCAGAGCAAGGGUUACAACAUAUGAUGAAGCUGUAAAAUACGUUUCCUUUUGAAUAUCAUUAUACAUUUUCAUAGAUAUAAAGGUAGAGGUCAUCACAUACGAACUCUGUAUUCAGAGAACAAGAAACAGUUUUAGGAAACAUACGUAAAACUUUUUCUUAACAACUUGCAACUUCAUCUUGUGUGAUUCUUGCCAUCCACACACUCUGCUCUGAGGCUGAAAUUAUCCAAAUGAUAUCAAUUAGUUUAUUUUUAACCUACAGUAAACAAUCAUUAAUGCCUUUCAUACAUGGUAGCAGCUUACGCAUACACACUGCGUAUAUAUAUCUUAUGAUCAGUUUUCUAAGAAUAAAAUUUUCCUAUCCUUUUGGUAAAGGAGAUGGAGUGAAUAUACACAUAUAUUAGAUAAGAUUUAAAAAUAAAAAUGUGUUUUGCAAGGAAGGAUUGUAAUGAAAACUUUCUCAGAACUAAUUCACUGUAUAUAAGACAGUUUUAGGCUCGUGUUUUAAAAUAUACUACAGUGCUUUGGCGGGCCAGCCAUGUUUGUCCAAAAGGUAUUUUUUAUGUCAACAGUGCUUCAUAGGCUGAUAGGUUUUUUAUACAUUAAUUUUUUAAUCCAAAUACUCAAAUCCAAAUAUUGAAUAUACUUAAUUGGAUUUGGCUGUACCUGUUUAUUUGGCCAGAAUGUUAUCAGAGUAGAUGAAACUAGAUAAAACUGUUAAUGUAAGACCACAACUUGUCAGAUCUGAUCACUCCCUUUAGUGUGUAUAUAAUAACCUGGAGCACACACACAUUCCUCAUUUAAUUAAAUUACACAAUUUCUCAAUACUGUUACUCAAAUGUUAUCCUCACAUUUUCGAUGGAAGUAUUAAACAUUAUGUAUGUAUUAUUUAGGGAGGGCUGCCAUGACAAACUACCACAGACUGUGUGGUUUAAGCAACAGAAAUUUAUUUUCUCACAGUUCUGGAGGCUAGAAGUCCAAGAUCAAGGUGUCGGCAGGGUUGGUUUCUCCUGAGGCCUCUUUCCUUGGCUUGCAGAUAGCUAUCUUCCGUUUCUUCACAUGGUCUUCCCUCUGUAUAUGUUUGUGUCCAAAUUUCCUUUUCUUAUAAGGAUACCAGUCAUAGUGGAUUAGGGCCCACCCUAAUGCUCUCAUUUUAACUUAAUGACCUCUUUAAAGGUCCUAUCUCCUACUACAGUCACCAUCUGAGGUACUGGGGUUAGGACUUUGACAUACGAAUUUUGAGGGGGACAAAUUCAGCUCAUAACAAUAUAGUCCAGGGCCCCUUUCCACGGAGAAGGAUUUUUCAAGUGUCUUCAUAUUCUCCAAAUACCCAGAUUACUAAUUACUUUGGUCCAAGGACCCCAAUUAAGCAGGUGGUAUAAAACCCAGUAGUGACUCUGGUUAUUUGGUGUCAUACAGACCAAACCAAACCGUAGAGUCUCGUGCUCUCAGCCCCACCACCUUGCAAAGCAUUCUGCCCCAGAGGGCAGAGUUUACGCUCACUGGAUUUGUACAUGGGGCAAGAGAGACAAGCUCUUGAGAAAAUAAAGAUGAAUUUGGCCUUUCGGUUUUCAAAGUUGUCCAACUGGCUACCUGCUCCCAGGAUGGACAUGCAAUCUUAAGAUCUUCUCUCACCAAAUCCAAGAGCUCUCAAGAACUCUCUCGGGCCUUUGGGGACCAUUCCGUGAUGGUAAGAGAGCCACUCUCCAUGCAAGAGUGGAAACAGUUAACCAAAGUGUGUAACUCCGUCCUAGUCAAAGGAGUUUGUGGUACCUCUAUUAUCAGUCUUUGAAAUGUCUGUUAGAAUGUCUCUGUUUGGGCACUAACACUAAUACAAGUCAUCUCUCCGCCUUCCUGAUUACAUCAAGUUUCUGAAGUGUGGGGGUUUUGUCUUUUUUUUCCUUUUCUAUUCUCACCUCAGUGCCUGAGGUUCAGUAACUAUGGGCUCAGUAAUUGAAUUCACUCUCUUUAGUGUUGUUUUCUAAACCUAUGAUCUGUGCCACACCCCUAAGAGACUCAUUAUUUUCUAACUCUAUCUUUUUUGUACCCCCUUACCUAGAAUAUAGGUAUUGAAGGUAUGAGCAUCAUCUUACAUUUCUUUAAGUCCCAGUACCUGAUUCAUUCCCCAUACACAACAGAUGCUAGUCUUAUUUGUUUAUUGCUCAUUGACUCAAUAAAAAAAAAAUCUUGGGACCAGCCCUGUGGCAUAGCAGUUAAGUCCAGCACAUUCCACUUUGGUGCCCAGGUUUGUGGGUUUGGAUCCCAGGCAUAGACCUACACCACUCAUAAGCCAUGCUGUGGUGGCAACUCACAUAUAAAGUGGGGAAGGUUGGCGCAGAGGUCAGCUCAGGGCUAAUCUUCCUCAAGCAAAAAAAGAGCAAGAUUGGAAAACAAACAAACAAAGAAACAAACAAAAAAACCUCAUUGUAAAUCUCAAGAUUUAAAAAUCUUUCUUUACACCAGAACAGUGAUGAUUGUUGAAGGUGAGUGAUGGACACAUGGCAUUCAUUACACCAUUCUCUCGAUUUUUGUGUGUAUUUGAAAAUUU
Equus caballus (horse) is the source of this 6346-nucleotide long non-coding RNA. NCBI's taxonomy places the organism in Eukaryota, Metazoa, Chordata, Mammalia, Perissodactyla, Equidae. The record is from Ensembl.